UCCGAUUUAACAUCGGCAGUCUCUCUAGAGUGCCCAACUUAAUGAUGGCAACUAAAGACGAGGGUUGCGCUCGUUGCCGGACUUAACCGAACAUCUCACGACACGAGCUGACGACAGCCAUGCAGCACUUGUGUCCUCCGUCCCCGAAGGGCCUCUCCGUGUUUCCACAGAGAUUCAGAGGCAUGUCAAGGCCAGGUAAGGUUUUGCGCGUUGCUUCGAAUUAAACCACAUAAUCCACCGCUUGUGCGGGUCCCCGUCAAUUCCUUUGAGUUUUAAUCUUGCGACCGUACUCCCCAGGCGGGAUACUUAACGCGUUAGCUAGACUACAGCCGGGGUCAAUACCGGCCACAGUGAGUAUCCAUCGUUUAGGGCGUGGACUAC
RNAcentral lists this unclassified non-coding RNA (381 nucleotides) under uncultured Oligoflexales bacterium. Its description in RNAcentral is "contains 16S-23S intergenic spacer region". Lineage: Bacteria; Pseudomonadati; Bdellovibrionota; Oligoflexia; Oligoflexales. The record is from RNAcentral.